UACGUAGGGUGCAAGCGUUAAUCGGAAUUACUGGGCGUAAAGCGUGCGCUGGCGGUUUUGUAAGUCUGACGUGAAAUCCCCGGGCUCAACCUGGGAAUUGCGUUGGAGACUGCAAGGCUAGAAUCUGGCAGAGGGGGUAGAAUUCCACGUGUAGCAGUGAAAUGCGUAGAGAUGUGGAGGAACACCGAUGGCGAAGGCAGCCCCCUGGGUCAAGAUUGACGCUCAUGCACGAAAGCGUGGGGAGCAACAAGG
This 252-nucleotide ribosomal RNA is filed under the name uncultured bacterium. RNAcentral's name for it is "partial 16S ribosomal RNA". It matches the Rfam family "Bacterial small subunit ribosomal RNA", at positions 524 to 776 of the family's 1533-position model. The record is from RNAcentral.